Long non-coding RNA from Tympanuchus pallidicinctus (lesser prairie-chicken), 1472 nucleotides. RefSeq lists it as uncharacterized. The transcript has 3 exons. NCBI's taxonomy places the organism in Eukaryota, Metazoa, Chordata, Aves, Galliformes, Phasianidae. The record is from RefSeq and is a predicted model, not a curated record.
GAACACAGGAAGGUCCUGGCUAGAUGGUGCCGGCUGGAAAACUGGUCUCACACCUCUCUUCCCACACUUGUAAGCAGUGAAGCUGACAGCACUGCUCUCUGCACAGCACUGAAUCCAUUCCUAGAGGCCCCAGAAGGACCUUUGCCUGCUUCUUGUCCUUUCUGCAGCUUUAUUUCAGGAGGAGAUGCCCACAAAGCCUGCCCAAACCCCAGUAGGACUCAGCUCCUCGCAGCACCACGGGGCAGGUACACAGCGGCAGCGCUCCUCUCCAUAGGGCUCUGUGGGCUUCAGCCCCCUUCCCAUGCUCACAGCCCUGUGGAUAUUUCUCCCCCUCCUUAUUACAUCUCCCAUCCCAGCAGUGCUCAGGGACUCUGUGAGUUUUCUGUUGGUGUGAACCUUCUGGAACGAUGCUACCUCAGAAAGGUCCAGAGCAUUGUGGGGCAGGCGUCCUCCCAGGCAGCCCUGCAGACAAAGACCAAGACCCAGGGCCCAACGGAAAGUCACUGCUCAGCUGUGUGAGGCCAUGGUCCUGCGAGCUGUCUUGUUCCUGAUCGCCGUGCUGACCGCCUUGUUCUGCCAACACGUCUCCAAGCACAGGAUCACCUCCCAGCUGGGUGGGGUGAUGCAGAAGAUGAGGCUGGCAGGCCACCAGGGGAGAUACUUGGAUGACACACGGAAGGCCCCUCUUCACGCACACGAGGGGGAAAGCUCCAGCCAGGAGAUGCAGCGCGUCCGUCGGUCCUGGCUGGAGGAUUACCUGGGUGACGUGUGGUCUCACUUUGCUGAGAACUUCCCCAUUGCCGUCCUGUACAUCUUCCCCAUCACCGUGCUGAUCCUGCUCCUCCUCUGCUGCCUCACGUAUGUGUGUGCAUUGCACACCCCCCGGUGCUCCUGUUCUCAAGAGCUGUGUUUGCUGGGUUGCAGCUCUGCAAUGCCUGUCCCAGCACAAGGCAGCAGGGAGGAGGUGCUCCUUGGGCUCCUCGUUGUUUUUUAGGGUAAGUAUGGAGUGAGGUGACCUGGAGAAGCAGCGUGGCUACACUGAAAGAAAUUCUGGUGCUUUGAUGGAGCACAGCUCAUCAAAGCCUCCAAAAGAAGCUCAAAGGAGCCUCCAAAACUCCAGGAACCCCAAAGCGGUGCGGAAGGGCCAGGAGCAGAACCACCUUUCUCUUCCUUUCAGAUGAUUUUAAAGAUUCUCCCAGACUGAAUUUCCCACUCCCACAUAAAGUUCAGACUUCGCCUGAGGCUCUGCUCUCUGACUUAUAGCCAGAACACAAGAGGUUCACUGGGGUUCAUAGAAUCAUUAAGGUUGGAAAAGACCUCUCAGAUCCCCGAGUCCAACCCCAACCCAUCUCACCAUGCUCAUAACCAUGACCCUGAGUGCCACAUGCCCACUGUUCUGGAGCACCUCCUAAGAUGAUGACCCCACGGCUCCCUGGGCAGCUGAGCCAAUGCAGCACCGCUCUUUCAGAGAA